GUGGGGAAUAUUGGACAAUGGGCGAAAGCCUGAUCCAGCCAUGACGCGUGAGUGAUGAAGGCCUUAGGGUUGUAAAGCUCUUUCAGUAGGGAAGAUAAUGACGGUACCUACAGAAGAAGCCCCGGCUAACUUCGUGCCAGCAGCCGCGGUAAUACGAAGGGGGCUAGCGUUGUUCGGAUUUACUGGGCGUAAAGCGCACGUAGGCGGAUUGGUCAGUUAGAGGUGAAAUCCUGGAGCUCAACUCCAGAACUGCCUUUAAUACUGCCAGUCUAGAGUCCAGAAGAGGUGAGUGGAACUCCUAGUGUAGAGGUGGAAUUCGUAGAUAUUAGGAAGAACACCAGUGGCGAAGGCGGCUCACUGGUCUGGUACUGACGCUGAGGUGCGAAAGCGUGGGGAGCAAACAGGAUUAGAAACCCUUGUAGUCC
Molecule: ribosomal RNA, 425 nt
Filed under: uncultured bacterium
Lineage: Bacteria
Description: bacterial SSU rRNA
Rfam family: Bacterial small subunit ribosomal RNA
Source: RNAcentral